Molecule: long non-coding RNA, 264 nt
Filed under: Cucumis sativus (cucumber)
Lineage: Eukaryota; Viridiplantae; Streptophyta; Magnoliopsida; Cucurbitales; Cucurbitaceae
Description: long non-coding RNA (CSAT_LNC001531)
Source: RNAcentral
GUUUUAUCAAAUGGACACAAAUAUAUCUAUAGUGAGGGGAGUGCAACUACGGGACUUUAGUGGAAUGACCCGUUAGUUAACGAAUGUUGAUUAACUCGGUUUAAAAGAGUUUAGCUAGUUAAUCUUGAAUCGUUGGAGCCCAUGAUCUAUAGGUCCAUUAGGUUCCUCUGCUAGCUCAUAUGGAUUAAACUUAGAACAGUGUGAUGAAAUAAGUCGAAUUGUUCGAAUAGGGAGAAGAAAGGAAAAUCGACAUAUACAGUGAUA